CCUACGGGUGGCAGCAGUGAGGAAUAUUGGUCAAUGGGCGGGAGCCUGAACCAGCCAAGUCGCGUGAGGGAAGACGGUCCUAUGGAUUGUAAACCUCUUUAGGCGGGGAGCAAUGCCGGGCACGCGUGCCCGGAGGGAGAGUACCCGCAGAAUAAGCAUCGGCUAACUCCGUGCCAGCAGACGCGGUCAUACGGAGGAUGCGAGCGUUAUACGGAUUUAUUGGGUUUAAGGGGUGCGUAGUCGGAUUUUUAAGUCAGCGGUAAAAUGUCCGGGCUCAACCCGGGCAGGCAGUUGAAACUGGGGAGCUUGAGUGGGCGAGAGGUAUGCGGAAUGCGUGGUGUAGCGGGGAAAUGCAUAGAUAUCACGCAGAACUCCGAUUGCGAAGGCAGCAUACCGGCGCCCGACUGACGCUGAGGCACGAAAGCGUGGGGAUCGAACAGGAUUAGAUACCCUUGUAGGC
This 460-nucleotide ribosomal RNA is filed under the name uncultured bacterium. Its description in RNAcentral is "partial 16S ribosomal RNA". It matches the Rfam family "Bacterial small subunit ribosomal RNA", at positions 338 to 795 of the family's 1533-position model. The record is from RNAcentral.